CCUUGGCUUGCAAGAGCUUGAGAAAAGGUGAGUCAUGUUCCUCCUAGCUUUCAGGGAUGAAAAAUCUAUCAAAGACUAUAACUUUGAACUUCUUGGGAGACAACUCAUGUUCAAGUUUGUUAAUUUUAUUUUAGUUACUUUCUUUUAGUUUAUUUUGUUUUUAUUUUUAAAAAAAUAGCGAAAAAAAUUGUGUGCAAGCUAUUGUUGCCAACGCACAAUAGGCACACACACACACACUAAAUUUCAACCUCACUCUCAUCUCUUCUACCUUCAACACCCACCACCCAUAUACCCCUCCCCUCACUCAAUUUCCUUCAAUUUUUCAUCAAUUCCACCAUCACCCAUCACUCCAUUCACCAUUUUUGGGUCUUUCCACUCCUCCAUUCAUCACCCAUUCAAAAUCUCUUCCAAGAUACCACCAAAAGGUUCAGGUUCGAGUCUAGGCACUAAGAAAAGGCAGCAACCAAUUUUCAAGAACCCCUCAAAGAGGCCUACUGAAGAGGAGGAGGAAAAAUAAGUUAUACCUAAACCCCACCAAAAGGUUCAGGUUUGAGUUUGCUUCAACAUCAAAUUAUAAAUACUACUAGCAAAUUGUUGCAAACGCUCAGAUGAUCAAGGAAAGGCCGAUGACAUUAGCAUCCGAUGAGGACCCUUGAGAAAUUGGGGAGGCCAUAGCCAAGAAAAGGUGGAGUGAAAUGCUUUGCAAACAAACUGCUUUAGGAUGUGCCAACCUUAUUGUUGAGUUUUAUGCCAACGCUCAGUAUGACUUCUCCUAUCGUACUCCCUCAGUGCCUACUUACAAGUCUUGUAGGGGAGUAGAGAUUGACUAUAGUCCUGAUGCUAUCAAGAGGUUCCUGAAAUUUUCAUCACUGCAGUUGAUGCAAGGAUCUUUGGAGAAAACAAGCCAACAUUCCAUACCCUUUUGAAUCAGUAUCUCCAAAUGAAGAGAUUCUUGAUACUCUUGUUGUCACGGGAGCCAUUUGGGGACCAACUAUACUUGGGGGACUACCUUGUUGUUGUUGUUGUUGUUGUUGUUGUUGUUGAUAAACUAGGUUGAGAGCUUUGUUAGAAACGUCAUACUUCAUUUGGUUUGCACUUUAAUUUUAUGCAAUCCUCUUUAGCUUUGUUAGACUAGUAUAUGUUGUGGAUAUUGUUUUAUUUCCA
This is a long non-coding RNA of Lotus japonicus, 1164 nucleotides long. RefSeq lists it as uncharacterized. The record is from RefSeq and is a predicted model, not a curated record. The transcript has 2 exons. Lineage: Eukaryota; Viridiplantae; Streptophyta; Magnoliopsida; Fabales; Fabaceae.